Molecule: long non-coding RNA, 431 nt
Filed under: Panax ginseng (ginseng)
Lineage: Eukaryota; Viridiplantae; Streptophyta; Magnoliopsida; Apiales; Araliaceae
Description: long non-coding RNA (PGIN_LNC017947)
Source: RNAcentral
UUACUUUUUGCAGUAGCCACAUUUUUCGGAGUUUUUUAGUAUAGUAGCAUCAAUCAAUAUAAAGGAUAGGAAGAACCUGUGCAAACCAAAAUGCGACCUGUGGAGCGCAGAGAGUAGAGAAACAUGUAAAGGAGGAGCGCAUGUGCUUGACCUGUGGAGCGCAGAGAGUAGAGAAACAUGUAAAGGAGGAGCGCAUGUGCUUUCCCAGUGGAUCGGAUAUAUAAUUCAUUUUUUAUAGGCAUAUAACCAGAUCCCUUGCAAGUUUCUGUACCUCUGUUAUUAGAACUAACCCAAGGGAUUUACACGAGAUUUUGUAUUAUGGAACCUCAUCCAUUAGUAUUGGUAGAAGGUGACUUAUUAAUGUACAAUUUUACUAAUAAUCCAGGAUUCCAGACUGCCCCAAGUUCUAGCUUUUACUUACUAAAGACUAA